UGGGGAAUUUUGCACAAUGGGGGAAACCCUGAUGCAGCGACGCCGCGUGAUUUAGAAGGCCUUCGGGUUGUAAAAAUCUUUUGUAUGGGAAGAAAAUGACAGUACCAUACGAAUAAGGACCGGCUAAUUACGUGCCAGCAGCCGCGGUAAUACGUAUGGGGCGAGCGUUGUCCGGAAUUAUUGGGCGUAAAGGGUACGUAGGCGGUCUAUUAAGUCAGGUGUGAAAGCGUGAGGCUUAACCUCAUUAAGCACUUGAAACUGAUAGACUUGAGUGAAGGAGAGGAAAGUGGAAUUCCUAGUGUAGCGGUGAAAUGCGUAGAUAUUAGGAGGAAUACCGGUGGCGAAGGCGACUUUCUGGACUUUUACUGACGCUCAGGUACGAAAGCGUGGGGAGCAAACAGG
Molecule: ribosomal RNA, 402 nt
Filed under: Verrucomicrobiota bacterium
Lineage: Bacteria; Pseudomonadati; Verrucomicrobiota
Description: Verrucomicrobia bacterium partial 16S ribosomal RNA
Rfam family: Bacterial small subunit ribosomal RNA
Source: RNAcentral